RNAcentral lists this ribosomal RNA (465 nucleotides) under uncultured bacterium. RNAcentral describes it as "partial 16S ribosomal RNA". It matches the Rfam family "Bacterial small subunit ribosomal RNA", at positions 338 to 795 of the family's 1533-position model. The record is from RNAcentral.
CCUACGGGAGGCAGCAGUGGGGAAUAUUGCGCAAUGGGCGAAAGCCUGACGCAGCGACGCCGCGUGAGGGAUGAAGGUCUUCGGAUCGUAAACCUCUGUCAGCAGGGAAGAACGGUCCCUGUGCUAAUCAGCAGUGCAUUGACGGUACCUGCAAAGGAAGCACCGGCUAACUCCGUGCCAGCAGCCGCUGUAAUACGGAGGGUGCGAGCGUUAAUCGGAAUUACUGGGCGUAAAGCGCUCGUAGACGGUAUGUCAAGUCAAGGGUGAAAUCCCCGCGCUCAACGGGGGAAUUGACUUUGAUACUGGCAGACUGGAGUGUGUGAGAGGAUAGUGGAAUUCCAGGUGUAGGAGUGAAAUCCGUAGAUAUCGGGAGGAACAUCAGUGGCGAAGGCGACUAACUGGAAUAUAACUGACGCUGAGGAGCGAAAGCGUGGGUAGCAAACAGGAUUAGAUACCCGUGUAGUC